RNAcentral lists this unclassified non-coding RNA (87 nucleotides) under Pseudomonas koreensis. The record is from RNAcentral. Lineage: Bacteria; Pseudomonadati; Pseudomonadota; Gammaproteobacteria; Pseudomonadales; Pseudomonadaceae.
GUAGGAGUGAGCCUGCUCGCGAUGGCGUCUUCGCCUUCAAGAUUACGGUGACUGACACACCGCUAUCGCGAGCAGGCUCACUCCUGC